GUAGCUCGGCUGACACACACACAAACAGAACAGGCAAAGGCAAACGUGGAGCCCGACUGCCAAUCACUGGACUUAUGUCAGCAUCCGAACCAAAACACACACAAGAAGGCAAACGUGGAGCCUGAAUGCCAAUCACUGGGCUUACAUCAGCAUCCGAACCUAAACACACGCAACAGGUUGAUAGGGAGUCGGGGACUCAGCCUAUAACUGUCAACACACACACAAACAGACGGACAGCAAAUGCUAAGGAGUCACCAGACUCGAGCCUAGCAAAGGU
Molecule: long non-coding RNA, 277 nt
Filed under: Lathyrus oleraceus (garden pea)
Lineage: Eukaryota; Viridiplantae; Streptophyta; Magnoliopsida; Fabales; Fabaceae
Description: Pisum sativum (pea) long non-coding RNA (PSAT_LNC000773)
Source: RNAcentral